RNAcentral lists this ribosomal RNA (253 nucleotides) under uncultured bacterium. RNAcentral describes it as "partial 16S ribosomal RNA". It matches the Rfam family "Bacterial small subunit ribosomal RNA", at positions 524 to 776 of the family's 1533-position model. The record is from RNAcentral.
UACAGAGGUGCCAAGCGUUAGGCGGAAUCACUGGGCUUAAAGCGCGUGUAGGUGGACGGGUAAGUAUCUUGUGAAAUCCCACGGCUCAACCGUGGAACUGCUGGAUAUACUGCUUGUCUUGAGGCACUUAGGGGCAGCUGGAACAAAUGGUGGAGCGGUGAAAUGCGUAGAUAUCAUUUGGAACGCUAAAGGCGAAAGCAGGCUGCUGGGAGUGAUCUGACACUGAGACGCGAAAGCCAGGGGAGCAAACGGG